Molecule: ribosomal RNA, 128 nt
Filed under: uncultured bacterium
Lineage: Bacteria
Description: partial 16S ribosomal RNA
Rfam family: Bacterial small subunit ribosomal RNA
Source: RNAcentral
GGACCCGCACAAGCAGUGGAGCAUGUGGUUUAAUUCGAUGCAACGCGAAGAACCUUACCCAGGCUUGACAUGCAGUAGACAGUUCCAGAAAUGGGAUCUCCCUUCGGGGCUGCUGCACAGGUGCUGCA